AGCCCCCCAUGCGGAGCCUCCCCUGUGCGCCUUCCUAUCCACCAUGGCAACAUUCUAGAGCGAAACGCGGCGCUCGGGGACGACGCUGAGCGCAGGAGGGUUACUGCUGCAGCUGAUCGCCCUCAGUUGAACAGCUGCACCCCGACGUUGGCCCCGUAUUUAGACGCCGUGUUGGUGCGAGGGGCCGGUGGCUGUUACGUUGGUUGAGGCGCGCUCGCCCUAGCGGCGCUCUCACAGGGCCCGAGGCGGGAAAGAGCGCGCCGCGUGCCGAGGUGCUGCCGCGUGCCGCUGGGGGGCAGCAGAGCGCCGGGCAGCAAAGCGCAGCUGAGGGGAACGGCCUGGAGGCUCCGCGCGUGAGCCCCGCAACGUUGGGCGGCCGCCUCGUGCCGGGUUCGUCCCGCCGGGUUCGGGGAACGCUACUCACGUGCUUCAGCCACAGCCCCAGCUAGAAAUGAGCUAAAGCAUCAAAGGCCAGAUCACAGCCCGUGUUCCCCAAAAUUCAGUGUUUAAACCAGAAGAGUUUGGAAACGGCUGAUCUCUAGAGGCAGUGAAGAGCCAUUGUAUCCAGAAAUACAGCUGGACGCGGAGUUCUGUUCGUACCAAUCCAUCGGGACACGGGCUGACUUCUCGCAGCGGCGGUGGGACCGC
Tympanuchus pallidicinctus (lesser prairie-chicken) is the source of this 648-nucleotide long non-coding RNA. RefSeq lists it as uncharacterized. Lineage: Eukaryota; Metazoa; Chordata; Aves; Galliformes; Phasianidae. The record is from RefSeq and is a predicted model, not a curated record. The transcript is spliced from 3 exons.